Long non-coding RNA from Mus musculus (house mouse), 1118 nucleotides. RefSeq annotates it as predicted gene, 57491. The record is from RefSeq and is a predicted model, not a curated record. The transcript has 3 exons. NCBI's taxonomy places the organism in Eukaryota, Metazoa, Chordata, Mammalia, Rodentia, Muridae.
GUGAGGUCUGAGUGUGGCCCCUAAGGGCUCAGACAUUGAGAGUUUGGCCCCAUCGUAGCAGCACUGGGAGAUGGUGGGACCUUUAGGAGGGGGAGUCUAGCGGGAAACCCUUUAUAUCUCUGGAGGAGCUGCCCCGGGACGGAUUAAUGUAGCUUCCAUUGGACACUAAGAUUUCUUGACAGUGAGUUGUUAUGAGCCUGGACACUGUCUCUCUCGCCUCCUGUUUGGAUACCGCACCAGACCUUGGACUUUAACCAUGUAAUUCCCAACAUACUAGUCAGGACCCCUCUGCUCGGACAAACCACCUUUCAAGAUCCAACCUGCCUUCAUCAGAAGUUCUGCAGAUUGUGCUGCCACCCAGCCCAGAGACCAUUCCUAACAAACGCUCCUUUUGUCCUUAUUCAGAGAAGCUUCCCUUUCCAUUGAACAUCAGUGAAUGCUGAGACUUAUGGCUAUACAAGGUGCAAUGAAUGAACCGUGGGGCCAUGGAAGCCAGACGAUGGCACUGAUCCCCAGAGGAUGAAGUUGAUGAUCCCCACAAGUUGACACUGGAUCCCCACAAGAUGUCAUUGGAUUCCCACAAAAUGACAUUGGAUCCCCAGAAAAUGCGUUGGGUUACCUGGAGCUGUAGUUAUAGGCAGUUGUAAGCCACCUGCAUGGGUGCUGGGAACCAAACUUGGGUGCUCAUAACCAUCAACCCAUCUCUCCUGACCCUUAUUUUUUUUUUAAGUGUGUGUGUGUGUGUGUGUGUGUGUGUGUGUGUGUGCACCUGUGUGCACAGAAGUGUACAUGCUCAUGGAGCGAUUGACUCUUCCCGAGCUUUACCACUAGGCUAUCUCUCCAGGUCCUAAAGCUAUUAUUUAAAAUAAAAAAUAAUUAUUUUAUGUCUGUGUGGCUUUUUUGAGACAGGGUUUUACUGUGUAGUCCCGGCUGUUUUGGAACUCUCUCUUUAGAAAGUCUGGCCUCAUAUUCAGAGAUCCACCUGCCUCUGCCUCCCAAGUGCUGGAAUUAAAUGCAUGUGCCACCACUGCCUGGCUCUGUCCAUGAAGGUUUCUGCCGCAUGGAUCUGUACCAUAUAAAUGCCUGGUACCCAUGUAGGUCAAAAGAACACACCAGAU